This is a non-coding RNA of Nematostella vectensis (starlet sea anemone), 73 nucleotides long. NCBI's taxonomy places the organism in Eukaryota, Metazoa, Cnidaria, Anthozoa, Actiniaria, Edwardsiidae. The record is from Rfam.
GCCAAAAUAGCUCAGUUGGGAGAGCGUCAGACUGAAGAUCUGAAGGUCCCUGGUUCAAUCCGGAGAGUUUGUA